Molecule: ribosomal RNA, 432 nt
Filed under: uncultured bacterium
Lineage: Bacteria
Description: partial 16S ribosomal RNA
Rfam family: Bacterial small subunit ribosomal RNA
Source: RNAcentral
AACGAACGCUGGCGGCAUGCCUAACACAUGCAAGUCGAACGAGACCUCCCGGUCUAUUUGCGCAGGUGUGCGUAACGCGGGGUACCUGACCUUAGGUUCGGCAUCCCUCCCCUUAGGGGGUGCUAAUACAGGCUGAUGUCUUCGGCCCAUAGAUUGUUCGGCUUUGGAGUGGCGCGCGUUGGAUUAGCUGGUUGGUAGGGUGAAAGCCUACCAAGCCGCCGAUGCGUGGCUGGGCGGGGAGGCUGCCCCACAACACUGGGACUGAGACACGGCCCAGACGGGGAGGGAGGGGAGCAGAGGGGAAUAUUAGACGAUGGGCGAAGGCGUGAUCCAGCAACGCGGCGUGAGUGAUGAAGGCGGUAGGGUUGUAAAGCUCUUUUACCCGGGGCGAUAAUGACAGUACCGGGAGAAUAAGCACCGGCUAACUCCGUG